AGAGUUUGAUCAUGGCUCAGGAUGAACGCUGGCGGCGCGCUUAACACAUGCAAGUCGAACGAGAAAUUUAUAUUGGAACCUUCGGGUGAAGAUAUAAAUGGAAAGUGGCGGACGGGUGAGUAACGCGUGGGUAACCUACCUUGUACAGGGGGAUAACAGUCUGAAAAGGCUGCUAAUACCGCAUAAGACCACAGUAUCGCAUGAUACGGUGGUAAAAGCUGCGACGGUACAAGAUGGACCCGCGUCUGAUUAGCUAGUAGGUAAGGUAAUGGCUUACCUAGGCAACGAUCAGUAGCCGGCCUGAGAGGGUGAACGGCCACAUUGGAACUGAGACACGGUCCAAACUCCUACGGGAGGCAGCAGUGGGGAAUAUUGCACAAUGGGGGAAACCCUGAUGCAGCGACGCCGCGUGAAGGAAGAAGGUUUUCGGAUCGUAAACUUCUAUCAGCAGGGAAGAAUAAAUGACAGUACCUGACUAAGAAGCCCCGGCUAACUACGUGCCAGCAGCCGCGGUAAUACGUAAGGGGCAAGCGUUAUCCGGAAUCCCUGGGUGUAAAGGGUGCGUAGGCGGUACAAUAAGUCAGAUGUGAAAA
This 593-nucleotide ribosomal RNA is filed under the name uncultured bacterium. RNAcentral describes it as "bacterial SSU rRNA". It matches the Rfam family "Bacterial small subunit ribosomal RNA", at positions 8 to 600 of the family's 1533-position model. The record is from RNAcentral.